GACGAACGCUGGCGGCGAGCUUAACACAUGCAAGUCGAACGGAAAGGCCUCUUUCGGGGGGUACUCGAGUGGCGAACGGGUGAGUAACACGUGAGUAACCUGCCCUUGACUUUGGGAUAACUUCAGGAAACUGGGGCUAAUACCGGAUAGGAGCUCCUGCUGCAUGGUGGGGGUUGGAAAGGUUCGGCGGUUGGGGAUGGACUCGCGGCUUAUCAGCUUGUUGGUGGGGUAGUGGCUUACCAAGGCUUUGACGGGUAGCCGGCCUGAGAGGGUGACCGGCCACAUUGGGACUGAGAUACGGCCCAGACUCCUACGGGAGGCAGCAGUGGGGAAUAUUGCACAAUGGGUGGAAGCCUGAUGCAGCAACGCCGUGUGCGGGAUGACGGCCUUCGGGUUGGAAACCGCUUUCGCUCAUGACGAAGCUUUGUGUGACGGUAGUGGGUAAAGAAGCACCGGCUAACUACGUG
RNAcentral lists this ribosomal RNA (467 nucleotides) under uncultured bacterium. RNAcentral's name for it is "partial 16S ribosomal RNA". It matches the Rfam family "Bacterial small subunit ribosomal RNA", at positions 28 to 507 of the family's 1533-position model. The record is from RNAcentral.